CGGACGGUUGUCUCCAUCCUUGGAGCGUAUGUUAUUCAGCAAAUGGUAAACCUUGAAGAAGAGCCUUCCUGUGCCCUCAUAUAGGCCUUUCCUGGCAGGAUUGACGUUAGAGAGAUCAUUACAUGGGCUUCCUUCCACCAAUCACCAAGUCAAAUGGGCCCCCCUCUUCAAUAUUUUUCUUGGUGAUUUUCCAGACGUCAUUGACAUAUUUGAUUUGGCCUUCAUGUUUAACGGUUCCUACAGCAAUGGCCCCUGCACAGACUUCAGAAGCAAUGGACCUCUCCACUUUAAUACCCAACUCCUUGAGCACCAAGCACCCUGUUGCAAUUCCAUCAAACAGAGACAGGACCCUAAUGGGCCUCCUUUUGGCUGCAGGAACUGCUGGGUACAACCUGGGCUGCUCAAAUUCUUCUAGGUCAGGAUCAGGAGUCAUCUGCAGCUUCUUAUGUUCAUAGAAGUUAUGCCUUGUAUGUUGGUUAUGUGAUACUAAAGCCUAGAUGGCUAAAAUUAUAUGUAGAAACUCGGAACUGUCAGUAUCUGAGAUACUUUUUGAUUUUCAAAAAUAAGAGGAAGUUUUGGUUGUAUUUUGAAAA
This 593-nucleotide long non-coding RNA is filed under the name Rattus norvegicus (Norway rat). RNAcentral's name for it is "long non-coding RNA NONRATT008949". The record is from RNAcentral. Lineage: Eukaryota; Metazoa; Chordata; Mammalia; Rodentia; Muridae.